Molecule: ribosomal RNA, 2444 nt
Filed under: Staphylococcus aureus F80358
Lineage: Bacteria; Bacillati; Bacillota; Bacilli; Caryophanales; Staphylococcaceae
Description: bacterial LSU rRNA
Rfam family: Bacterial large subunit ribosomal RNA
Source: RNAcentral
UUAAGUUAUUAAGGGCGCACGGUGGAUGCCUUGGCACUAGAAGCCGAUGAAGGACGUUACUAACGACGAUAUGCUUUGGGGAGCUGUAAGUAAGCUUUGAUCCAGAGAUUUCCGAAUGGGGAAACCCAGCAUGAGUUAUGUCAUGUUAUCGAUAUGUGAAUACAUAGCAUAUCAGAAGGCACACCCGGAGAACUGAAACAUCUUAGUACCCGGAGGAAGAGAAAGAAAAUUCGAUUCCCUUAGUAGCGGCGAGCGAAACGGGAAGAGCCCAAACCAACAAGCUUGCUUGUUGGGGUUGUAGGACACUCUAUACGGAGUUACAAAGGACGACAUUAGACGAAUCAUCUGGAAAGAUGAAUCAAAGAAGGUAAUAAUCCUGUAGUCGAAAAUGUUGUCUCUCUUGAGUGGAUCCUGAGUACGACGGAGCACGUGAAAUUCCGUCGGAAUCUGGGAGGACCAUCUCCUAAGGCUAAAUACUCUCUAGUGACCGAUAGUGAACCAGUACCGUGAGGGAAAGGUGAAAAGCACCCCGGAAGGGGAGUGAAAUAGAACCUGAAACCGUGUGCUUACAAGUAGUCAGAGCCCGUUAAUGGGUGAUGGCGUGCCUUUUGUAGAAUGAACCGGCGAGUUACGAUUUGAUGCAAGGUUAAGCAGUAAAUGUGGAGCCGUAGCGAAAGCGAGUCUGAAUAGGGCGUUUAGUAUUUGGUCGUAGACCCGAAACCAGGUGAUCUACCCUUGGUCAGGUUGAAGUUCAGGUAACACUGAAUGGAGGACCGAACCGACUUACGUUGAAAAGUGAGCGGAUGAACUGAGGGUAGCGGAGAAAUUCCAAUCGAACCUGGAGAUAGCUGGUUCUCUCCGAAAUAGCUUUAGGGCUAGCCUCAAGUGAUGAUUAUUGGAGGUAGAGCACUGUUUGGACGAGGGGCCCCUCUCGGGUUACCGAAUUCAGACAAACUCCGAAUGCCAAUUAAUUUAACUUGGGAGUCAGAACAUGGGUGAUAAGGUCCGUGUUCGAAAGGGAAACAGCCCAGACCACCAGCUAAGGUCCCAAAAUAUAUGUUAAGUGGAAAAGGAUGUGGCGUUGCCCAGACAACUAGGAUGUUGGCUUAGAAGCAGCCAUCAUUUAAAGAGUGCGUAAUAGCUCACUAGUCGAGUGACACUGCGCCGAAAAUGUACCGGGGCUAAACAUAUUACCGAAGCUGUGGAUUGUCCUUUGGACAAUGGUAGGAGAGCGUUCUAAGGGCGUUGAAGCAUGAUCGUAAGGACAUGUGGAGCGCUUAGAAGUGAGAAUGCCGGUGUGAGUAGCGAAAGACGGGUGAGAAUCCCGUCCACCGAUUGACUAAGGUUUCCAGAGGAAGGCUCGUCCGCUCUGGGUUAGUCGGGUCCUAAGCUGAGGCCGACAGGCGUAGGCGAUGGAUAACAGGUUGAUAUUCCUGUACCACCUAUAAUCGUUUUAAUCGAUGGGGGGACGCAGUAGGAUAGGCGAAGCGUGCGAUUGGAUUGCACGUCUAAGCAGUAAGGCUGAGUAUUAGGCAAAUCCGGUACUCGUUAAGGCUGAGCUGUGAUGGGGAGAAGACAUUGUGUCUUCGAGUCGUUGAUUUCACACUGCCGAGAAAAGCCUCUAGAUAGAAAAUAGGUGCCCGUACCGCAAACCGACACAGGUAGUCAAGAUGAGAAUUCUAAGGUGAGCGAGCGAACUCUCGUUAAGGAACUCGGCAAAAUGACCCCGUAACUUCGGGAGAAGGGGUGCUCUUUAGGGUUAACGCCCAGAAGAGCCGCAGUGAAUAGGCCCAAGCGACUGUUUAUCAAAAACACAGGUCUCUGCUAAACCGUAAGGUGAUGUAUAGGGGCUGACGCCUGCCCGGUGCUGGAAGGUUAAGAGGAGUGGUUAGCUUCUGCGAAGCUACGAAUCGAAGCCCCAGUAAACGGCGGCCGUAACUAUAACGGUCCUAAGGUAGCGAAAUUCCUUGUCGGGUAAGUUCCGACCCGCACGAAAGGCGUAACGAUUUGGGCACUGUCUCAACGAGAGACUCGGUGAAAUCAUAGUACCUGUGAAGAUGCAGGUUACCCGCGACAGGACGGAAAGACCCCGUGGAGCUUUACUGUAGCCUGAUAUUGAAAUUCGGCACAGCUUGUACAGGAUAGGUAGGAGCCUUUGAAACGUGAGCGCUAGCUUACGUGGAGGCGCUGGUGGGAUACUACCCUAGCUGUGUUGGCUUUCUAACCCGCACCACUUAUCGUGGUGGGAGACAGUGUCAGGCGGGCAGUUUGACUGGGGCGGUCGCCUCCUAAAAGGUAACGGAGGCGCUCAAAGGUUCCCUCAGAAUGGUUGGAAAUCAUUCAUAGAGUGUAAAGGCAUAAGGGAGCUUGACUGCGAGACCUACAAGUCGAGCAGGGUCGAAAGACGGACUUAGUGAUCCGGUGGUUCCGCAUGGAAGGGCCAU